AAUUUUGAAGAGAAAGUUCANAAAAGUAAGUUCAAGAGUACGUGAAACCGUUCAGAAGUAAACCUAAGAAACCCAAAAGAUCGAACUUACUUCAUCGGGGAAAUUCAUCGUCAGCGGCAUCGGCUUCGCGUCGGUGGGCAAUGUCUCGCAUGUCUCUCGCUCGCGGACACGCUGCCGUGCGCGCAUAUCCGGCGUCAUCGAAGCACUUCUCCUCUAAUANGACGUCGCGACCCGCUAGGUGUCGGUUUACGGCGGUGUCUGUCGCGUCGCCGGUAAAACGGCACGCGGCAAACUCCCGAUAUGCCCGACCGACUGCCCGGUACUCGCACGGUAUAAGGCCGCAAAGAAGCGCGCCCGCGCG
Molecule: ribosomal RNA, 361 nt
Filed under: Rogeria creightoni
Lineage: Eukaryota; Metazoa; Arthropoda; Insecta; Hymenoptera; Formicidae
Description: partial 28S ribosomal RNA
Source: RNAcentral